This 451-nucleotide ribosomal RNA is filed under the name uncultured bacterium. RNAcentral's name for it is "bacterial SSU rRNA". It matches the Rfam family "Bacterial small subunit ribosomal RNA", at positions 8 to 461 of the family's 1533-position model. The record is from RNAcentral.
AGAGUUUGAUCCUGGCUCAGAUUGAACGCUAGCGGGAUGCUUUACACAUGCAAGUCGGACGGCAGCACGGACUUCGGUCUGGUGGCGAGUGGCGAACGGGUGAGUAAUGUAUCGGAACGUGCCUAGUAGCGGGGGAUAACUACGCGAAAGCGUGGCUAAUACCGCAUACGCCCUGAGGGGGAAAGGGGGGGAUCGCAAGACCUCCCACUAUUAGAGCGGCCGAUAUCGGGUUAGCUAGUUGGUGAGGUAACGGCUCACCAAGGCUGUGAUCCGUAGCUGGUUUGAGAGGACGACCAGCCACACUGGGACUGAGACACGGCCCAGACUCCUACGGGAGGCAGCAGUGGGGAAUUUUGGACAAUGGGGGCAACCCUGAUCCAGCCAUCCCGCGUGUGCGAUGAAGGCCUUCGGGUUGUAAAGCACUUUUGGCAGGGAAGAAACGGCCACGGGG